RNAcentral lists this ribosomal RNA (750 nucleotides) under Pseudomonas aeruginosa. RNAcentral describes it as "bacterial SSU rRNA". It matches the Rfam family "Bacterial small subunit ribosomal RNA", at positions 28 to 773 of the family's 1533-position model. The record is from RNAcentral. Lineage: Bacteria; Pseudomonadati; Pseudomonadota; Gammaproteobacteria; Pseudomonadales; Pseudomonadaceae.
UUUAGACGCUGGCGGCAGGCCUAACACAUGCAAGUCGAGCGGUGAAGGGAGCUUGCUCCUGGAUUCAGCGGCGGACGGGUGAGUAAUGCCUAGGAAUCUGCCUGGUAGUGGGGGAUAACGUCCGGAAACGGGCGCUAAUACCGCAUACGUCCUGAGGGAGAAAGUGGGGGAUCUUCGGACCUCACGCUAUCAGAUGAGCCUAGGUCGGAUUAGCUAGUUGGUGGGGUAAAGGCCUACCAAGGCGACGAUCCGUAACUGGUCUGAGAGGAUGAUCAGUCACACUGGAACUGAGACACGGUCCAGACUCCUACGGGAGGCAGCAGUGGGGAAUAUUGGACAAUGGGCGAAAGCCUGAUCCAGCCAUGCCGCGUGUGUGAAGAAGGUCUUCGGAUUGUAAAGCACUUUAAGUUGGGAGGAAGGGCAGUAAGUUAAUACCUUGCUGUUUUGACGUUACCAACAGAAUAAGCACCGGCUAACUUCGUGCCAGCAGCCCGCGGUAAUACGAAGGGUGCAAGCGUUAAUCGGAAUUACUGGGCGUAAAGCGCGCGUAGGUGGUUCAGCAAGUUGGAUGUGAAAUCCCCGGGCUCAACCUGGGAACUGCAUCCAAAACUACUGAGCUAGAGUACGGUAGAGGGUGGUGGAAUUUCCUGUGUAGCGGUGAAAUGCGUAGAUAUAGGAAGGAACACCAGUGGCGAAGGCGACCACCUGGACUGAUACUGACACUGAGGUGCGAAAGCGUGGGGAGCAAAC